GGAGGGUGCAAGCGUUAUCCGGAUUUACUGGGUUUAAAGGGUGCGUAGGUGGGCAGGUAAGUCAGUGGUGAAAUCUUCAAGCUUAACUUGGAAACUGCCAUUGAUACUAUUUGUCUUGAAUUAUCUGGAGGUAAGCGGAAUAUGUCAUGUAGCGGUGAAAUGCUUAGAUAUGACAUAGAACACCCAUUGCGAAGGCAGCUUACUACGGAUAUAUUGACACUGAGGCACGAAAGCGUGGGGAUCAAACAGGAUUAGAUACCCUGGUAGUCCACGCCCUAAACGAUGGAUACUCGACAUCAGCGAUACACAGUUGGUGUCUGAGCGAAAGCAUUAAGUAUCCCACCUGGGAAGUACGACCGCAAGG
This 364-nucleotide ribosomal RNA is filed under the name uncultured bacterium. RNAcentral describes it as "bacterial SSU rRNA". It matches the Rfam family "Bacterial small subunit ribosomal RNA", at positions 527 to 893 of the family's 1533-position model. The record is from RNAcentral.